GACGAACGCUGGCGGCGCGCUUAACACAUGCAAGUCGAACGGAAAGGCCUGCUUUCCCUUGUGGAUUGCGGGUACUCGAGUGGCGAACGGGUGAGUAACACGUGAGUGAUCUGCCCCCAACUUGGGUAUAAGCCUGGGAAACUGGGUCUAAUUCCCGAUAGGACUGCAGGGUGGUGCCUGUGGUGGAAAACGAUUUUCUAGUGGUUGGGGAUGAGCUCGCGGCCUAUCAGCUUGUUGGUGGGGUAAUGGCCUACCAAGGCGGCGACGGGUAGCCGGCCUGAGAGGGUGGACGGUCACAUUGGGACUGAGAUACGGCCCAGACGCCUACGGGAGGCAGCAGUGGGGAAUAUUGCACAAUGGGCGGAAGCCUGAUGCAGCGACGCCGCGUGGGGGAUGACGGCCUUCGGGUUGUAAACUCCUUUCGACCGCGAGGAAGCCACCUGGUUGGAAGGGUGGUGACGGUAGUGGUAGAAGAAGCACCGGCUAACUACGUG
RNAcentral lists this ribosomal RNA (494 nucleotides) under uncultured bacterium. Its description in RNAcentral is "partial 16S ribosomal RNA". It matches the Rfam family "Bacterial small subunit ribosomal RNA", at positions 28 to 507 of the family's 1533-position model. The record is from RNAcentral.